RNAcentral lists this ribosomal RNA (256 nucleotides) under uncultured bacterium. RNAcentral describes it as "partial 16S ribosomal RNA". It matches the Rfam family "Bacterial small subunit ribosomal RNA", at positions 524 to 776 of the family's 1533-position model. The record is from RNAcentral.
UACGGAGGAUGCAAGCGUUUAUCCGGAAUUAUUGGGCGUAAAGCGUCCGCAGGUGGCACUUCAAGUCUGCUGUCAAAGACCGGGGCUUAACCCUGGAAAGGCAGUGGAAACUGAAGCGCUAGAGUGUGGCAGGGGUAGAGGGAAUUCCCGGUCGUAGCGGUGAAAUGCGUAGAGAUCGGGAAGAACAUCGGUGGCGAAAGCGCUCUACUGGGCCAUACCUGACACUCGAGGGACGAAAGCUAGGGGAGCGAAUGGG